This 2174-nucleotide unclassified non-coding RNA is filed under the name Hevea brasiliensis (rubber tree). Lineage: Eukaryota; Viridiplantae; Streptophyta; Magnoliopsida; Malpighiales; Euphorbiaceae. The record is from RNAcentral.
UGAUGACAUGGACAUAUUCAAAGGUAUAAGUUUGAAGUUGUUGGCAAUGGAACAGUUGCUCGAGCAGCACCCAGAGUGGCGAGGCAAGGUGGUGUUGGUGCAGAUAGCAAAUCCUGCAAGGGGCAGAGGAAAAGAUGUGAAAGAAGUCCAGGCUGAGACUUACUCCACUGUGAAGAGGAUCAAUGAAACAUUUGGGAAGCCUGGAUAUGAUCCUGUCAUCUUAAUUGAUGCACCACUCAAGUUUUAUGAAAAAGUGGCAUAUUAUGUUGUUGCUGAGUGCUGUUUGGUCACUGCUGUAAGGGAUGGAAUGAAUCUCAUACCUUAUGAAUACAUUAUUAGUCGUCAAGGGAAUGAGCAAUUGGAUAAGGUGUUGAGACUAGAACCCUCUAUUCUGAAGAAGAGCAUGUUGGUUAUUUCUGAGUUUAUUGGCUGUUCCCCAUCUUUGAGUGGAGCCAUUCGAGUAAACCCCUGGAAUAUUGAUGCAGUGGCCGAUGCAAUGGACUGCGCCCUGGAGAUGGCUGAGCCAGAAAAACAACUUCGACAUGACAAGCAUUACAAAUAUGUUAGUAGUCAUGAUGUUGGUUAUUGGGCACGUAGUUUUCUUCAGGAUUUGGAGAGGACGUGUCGUGAUCAUUCAAGGAGGAGAUGCUGGGGUAUCGGAUUCGGAUUAAGCUUCAGAGUUGUGGCACUAGAUCCAAACUUUAGGAAGCUUUCAAUGGAGCACAUUGUAUCAGCUUACAAGAGGAACACAACUAGGGCAAUUCUUCUGGACUAUGAUGGUACUCUAAUGCCUCAGGCAUCGAUUGAUAAGAGUCCAUCUCACAAGUCAAUUGACAUCCUAAAUGGCUUGUGCACAGAUAAGAACAACAUGGUUUUCCUUGUUAGUGCUAGAAGCCGCAAGACACUCACUGAAUGGUUUUCUCAGUGUGAGAAGCUAGGAUUAGCUGCAGAGCAUGGAUACUUCCUAAGGUUGACAAGAGAUGCAGAAUGGGAAACAUGCGUUCCUGUAACAGACACUGCUUGGAAGCAAAUUGCAGAACCUGUGAUGCAGCUUUAUACCGAAACAACUGAUGGGUCCACUAUUGAGGACAAGGAAACUGCACUAGUAUGGUGUUAUGAGGAUGCGGAUCCUGAUUUUGGUUCAUGCCAAGCUAAAGAACUUCUUGAUCAUCUUGAAAGUGUUUUGGCCAAUGAACCUGUAACAGUCAAGAGUGGACAAAAUACAGUGGAGGUUAAACCUCAGGGUGUAAGCAAAGGGCUUGUGGCUAAACGCCUACUUUCCUCAAUGCAAGAAAGGGGAAUAUCACCAGAUUUUGUUUUAUGCAUCGGAGAUGACCGUUCAGAUGAAGAUAUGUUUGAGGUAAUUACCAGUUCCAUGGCAGGUCCAUCAAUUGCUCCAAGGGCAGAAGUAUUUGCAUGCACUGUUGGUCGAAAACCCAGCAAGGCUAAAUAUUAUCUUGAUGAUACCGCAGAAAUUGUUAGGCUGAUGCAAGGUUUGGCGUCGGUUUCAGAACAAACAGUUACCGUGUAAGCUGAGUGAAAGGCGUACUCUCUUGUUUUCUCUGUAAAUUUAAGCAUGUAGGUUGAUCUACAUAGUUUUUGCUAUCUUUUCCCGCUUUUCUUUCAUGUACAAAUCGUCAUAGUGUUACUUUAGAGAAGCUGUGGAAGCAGAAACACUUUUUUCCCCUCUUUCUUUAUUUCUUAUUGCAUUUGACCUCUUUGUAGUGCAGUUGUAAAUAUAUAUGUUUGUGCCAUAAAUCUUGAGCUUGUUGAACUGCAGUAAUCUCUAGAUUAAUGUUCUUGGAAAAGCUAACUGUUCAAAAUGUAUCCCUGUGAUGUUAUGCUUCUGCCCGCUCAAGCUCUUCUGGCUAUGUUCUUGGUUGCGGUUAGUACUUUUGGUUCACAGCAGGACAAAGGAAGGAAAGGGUAGAUAAACCGUCUAGUCCAAUUAUGUUAUUUGUCGUAUUUAUGCUUGAUUUUUCUCUCAGCAAGUUUUCUUGGUGGGAAUUCGGCGCCUGUGUAGAUUCUGGUGCAAGUGCUGUAAAUUGUCUUUAUGCAAAAUUUUGUACGUCUACUGGUAUGCCCUAUAAGAUUGUUGUUUUGUGCAAUUGACUUGCUUCUUGUUGGGUUAGGCUUUGUCCCUUUUCAUAGUUCACAUAUGUUUCUUUCUGAAA